Molecule: long non-coding RNA, 429 nt
Filed under: Nicotiana benthamiana
Lineage: Eukaryota; Viridiplantae; Streptophyta; Magnoliopsida; Solanales; Solanaceae
Description: long non-coding RNA (NBEN_LNC040960)
Source: RNAcentral
UCCCAUUUACUGCUCCACUAUAGUUAGUAAUCAUGUUCCAAUUAGGCAUAAAAAAGCUAGCUAUUCUGCUAGCAUUGUGUUGUUUAACCUUAGUCUCUACAAGUCCUACAAGGUCAAGCUUAUUAAUUCUAAAGUAAUUUUUAGCUUCUUUUUGUUUAAACCUUUUAUUUACACCCCUAAUAUUCCAAAAGAUCCACUUCAUUGAGUAUUGCUAGUUCCCCCUUCAUCCAGGGGAUGAUCAGCCCACCUAACUGUCCGAACUUCAAAUCUGUUAGACAUGACAAGAGGAGAUAAGGGAGGGAAAUUAGUAAUGUUAAAGACUGGAGAGUCUUGUAUAGCAACCUGCUUCUGUUUGUUCCCACCAUCAGCUGAAGUUAUAGUGCUUGUCUCCUUUGAUACCUCUUGACACUGGAUUUGAGCCAUCUGGUU